RNAcentral lists this ribosomal RNA (760 nucleotides) under uncultured delta proteobacterium. RNAcentral describes it as "bacterial SSU rRNA". It matches the Rfam family "Bacterial small subunit ribosomal RNA", at positions 8 to 740 of the family's 1533-position model. The record is from RNAcentral. Lineage: Bacteria; Deltaproteobacteria.
ANAGUUUGAUAAUGGCUCAGAAUGAACGCUGGCGGCGUGCUAAACACAUGCAAGUCGUACGAGAACGCUCUAGCUUGCUAGAGCAAGUAAAGUGGCGCACGGGUGAGUAACGCGUGGGUAAUCUACCUUCGAAUUGGGGAUAACGUUGCGAAAGCGACGCUAAUACCGAAUAACAUCCUUAGAACCUCGGUUUUUAGGAUCAAAGGUGGCCUCUACAUGUAAGCUACUGUUUGAAGAUGAGCCCGCGUACCAUUAGCUUGUUGGCAGGGUAAUGGCCUACCAAGGCAACGAUGGUUAGCUGGUCUGAGAGGAUGAUCAGCCACACUGGAACUGACACACGGUCCAGACUCCUGCGGGAGGCAGCAGUGAGGAAUUUUGCGCAAUGGGGGAAACCCUGACGCAGCAACGCCGCGUGAGUGAUGAAGGCUUUCGGGUCGUAAAGCUCUGUCAAGUGGGAAGAACCUGCAGUAUGUUAAUAUCAUAUUGCACUGACGGUACCACUGAAGGAAGCACCGGCUAACUCCGUGCCAGCAGCCGCGGUAAUACGGGGGGUGCAAGCGUUAUUCGGAAUCAUUGGGCGUAAAGAGCACGUAGGCGGCUUGGUAAGUCAGAUGUGAAAGCCCGGGGCUUAACCCCGGAAGUGCAUUUGAUACUGUCAAGCUUGAGUAUGGGAGAGGGAAGUGGAAUUCCUGGUGUAGAGGUGAAAUUCGUAGAUAUCAGGAGGAACACCGGUGGCGAAGGCGACUUCCUGGACCAAUAC